UUUGUUUUAGUAUAGUAUUAUUAUAUUGGCUUUUCGUGCCGAUGAGAAUCAGUUAUUGAUUAAACAAAG
This 69-nucleotide transfer RNA is filed under the name Rodentolepis nana. RNAcentral's name for it is "tRNA-Glu". Lineage: Eukaryota; Metazoa; Platyhelminthes; Cestoda; Cyclophyllidea; Hymenolepididae. The record is from RNAcentral.